This is a long non-coding RNA of Peromyscus leucopus (white-footed mouse), 283 nucleotides long. RefSeq lists it as uncharacterized. The record is from RefSeq and is a predicted model, not a curated record. Lineage: Eukaryota; Metazoa; Chordata; Mammalia; Rodentia; Cricetidae. The transcript is spliced from 3 exons.
CGGGGGGCGGGGGACACCCAGCUCAGGUGAGAGGCUCUGUCCGGGAUGGGGGUGCGGUAGCCGGCCAGGCGUGGAGCGCUCCUGGGUUGGAGAAACUGAGGCCCUGGAAGUGGAAGUAACUUCACACAGCAGGACCGGUACUGGAGACCUCUCUUCAGAGCCUGCCAAGUAGAUCCAUGAUAGCCUCCUUGCCAGCAGUGGGGAAGGAUGGCACACAGCAUCCCCGAGAGGCCCAAGGUCUAGGAAGAUUCCCAGUGAAGAUAAUAAAAUGACUCUAGACUGA